RNAcentral lists this ribosomal RNA (2894 nucleotides) under Stenotrophomonas maltophilia. RNAcentral's name for it is "bacterial LSU rRNA". It matches the Rfam family "Bacterial large subunit ribosomal RNA". The record is from RNAcentral. Lineage: Bacteria; Pseudomonadati; Pseudomonadota; Gammaproteobacteria; Lysobacterales; Lysobacteraceae.
GUUAUAUGGUCAAGCGAAUAAGCGCACACGGUGGAUGCCUUGGCGGUCAGAGGCGAUGAAGGACGUGGCAGCCUGCGAAAAGUAUCGGGGAGCUGGCAACAAGCUUUGAUCCGGUAAUGUCCGAAUGGGGAAACCCACCCGCUUGCGGGUAUCCUGCAGUGAAUACAUAGCUGCUGGAAGCGAACCUGGUGAACUGAAAUAUCUAAGUAACCAGAGGAAAAGAAAUCAACCGAGAUUCCGUAAGUAGCGACGAGCGAACGCGGACUAGCCCUUAAGCUGAUUUGGUUCUAGGAAAACGCUCUGGAAAGAGUGGCCAUAGAAGGUGAUAGCCCUGUAUCUGAAAGGGCCAUUUCAGUGAAGACGAGUAGGGCGGGGCACGUGAAACCCUGUCUGAACAUGGGGGGACCAUCCUCCAAGGCUAAAUACUACUGACCGACCGAUAGUGAACCAGUACCGUGAGGGAAAGGCGAAAAGAACCCCGGAGAGGGGAGUGAAAUAGAACCUGAAACCGUGUGCGUACAAGCAGUAGGAGCUCCGCAAGGAGUGACUGCGUACCUUUUGUAUAAUGGGUCAGCGACUUACUGUUCGUGGCAAGCUUAACCGUAUAGGGGAGGCGAAGGGAAACCGAGUCUGAUAAGGGCGCAUAGUCGCGGGCAGUAGACCCGAAACCGGGUGAUCUAGUCAUGCCCAGGGUGAAGGUGCGGUAACACGCACUGGAGGCCCGAACCCACUCCCGUUGCAAAGGUAGGGGAUGAGGUGUGAUUAGGAGUGAAAAGCUAAUCGAACCCGGAGAUAGCUGGUUCUCCUCGAAAGCUAUUUAGGUAGCGCCUCAUAUGUAUCCUCUCGGGGGUAGAGCACUGUUAUGGCUAGGGGGUCAUCGCGACUUACCAAACCAUUGCAAACUCCGAAUACCGAGACGGACUGUAUGGGAGACACACGGCGGGUGCUAACGUCCGUCGUGAAAAGGGAAACAACCCAGACCCACAGCUAAGGUCCCAAAUUUUGUGCUAAGUGGAAAACCAUGUGGAAAGGCACAGACAGCCAGGAGGUUGGCUUAGAAGCAGCCACCCUUUAAAGAAAGCGUAAUAGCUCACUGGUCGAGUCGGUCUGCGGGGAAGAUUUAACGGGGCUAAGCACAGAACCGAAGCUUGGGGUGCAUAACUUUGUUAUGCGCGGUAGAGGAGCGUUCCGUAAGCCGUUGAAGGUGGAUUGAGAAGUCUGCUGGAGGUAUCGGAAGUGCGAAUGCUGACAUGAGUAACGAUAAUGCGGGUGAAAAACCCGCACGCCGAAAGCCCAAGGUUUCCUUGCGCAACGUUAAUCGGCGCAGGGUGAGUCGGCCCCUAAGGCGAGGACGAAAGUCGUAGUCGAUGGGAAGCAGGUUAAUAUUCCUGCACCUCGCGUAAGUGCGAUGGAGGGACGGAGAAGGUUAGGUGUACCAGGCGUUGGUUGUCCUGGGGAAAGGCGGUAGGUUUGGAUCUUUGGCAAAUCCGGGAUCCUUCAAGACCGAGCACCGAGACGAGCCUUUAAGGCGAAGUCACUGAUACCACGCUUCCAGGAAAAGCUCCUAAGCUUCAGCUUACGCAGACCGUACCGUAAACCGACACAGGUGGGUAGGAUGAGAAUUCUCAGGCGCUUGAGAGAACUCGGGUGAAGGAACUAGGCAACAUGGCACCGUAACUUCGGGAGAAGGUGCACCCUUUUUGGUGGCUCGUGCGAGCUAUAGCUGAAGAGGGUCGCAGUAACCAGGCCGCUGCGACUGUUUAUCAAAAACACAGCACUCUGCAAACACGAAAGUGGACGUAUAGGGUGUGACGCCUGCCCGGUGCUGGAAGGUUAAUUGAUGGGGUCAGCCGCAAGGCGAAGCUCUUGAUCGAAGCCCCAGUAAACGGCGGCCGUAACUAUAACGGUCCUAAGGUAGCGAAAUUCCUUGUCGGGUAAGUUCCGACCUGCACGAAUGGCGUAACGACAGCGGCGCUGUCUCCACCCGAGACUCAGUGAAAUUGAAAUCGCUGUGAAGAUGCAGCGUUCCCGUGGCAAGACGGAAAGACCCCGUGAACCUUUACUAUAGCUUUACACUGAACGUUGAGUUCGUCUGUGUAGGAUAGGUGGGAGGCUAUGAAACCAUGGCGCUAGCUGUGGUGGAGCCAUCCUUGAAAUACCACCCUGUCGUGCUUGACGUUCUAACCUAGGCCCAUUAUCUGGGUCGGGGACCGUGUAUGGUGGGUAGUUUGACUGGGGCGGUCUCCUCCUAAAGAGUAACGGAGGAGCUCGAAGGUACGCUCAGCGCGGUCGGACAUCGCGCACUGUGUGCAAAGGCAUAAGCGUGCUUGACUGCAAGAUCGACGGAUCAAGCAGGUAGGAAACUAGGACUUAGUGAUCCGGUGGUUCUGUAUGGAAGGGCCAUCGCUCAACGGAUAAAAGGUACUCCGGGGAUAACAGGCUGAUACCGCCCAAGAGUUCAUAUCGACGGCGGUGUUUGGCACCUCGAUGUCGGCUCAUCACAUCCUGGGGCUGUAGUCGGUCCCAAGGGUAUGGCUGUUCGCCAUUUAAAGUGGUACGCGAGCUGGGUUCAGAACGUCGUGAGACAGUUCGGUCCCUAUCUGCCAUGGGCGUUGGAGAUUUGAGAGGGGCUGCUCCUAGUACGAGAGGACCGGAGUGGACGAACCUCUGGUGUUCCGGUUGUCACGCCAGUGGCAUUGCCGGGUAGCUAUGUUCGGAAGCGAUAACCGCUGAAAGCAUCUAAGCGGGAAGCGCGCCUCAAGAUGAGAUCUCCCGGGGCACAAGCCCCCUGAAGGAACCAUGUAGACUACGUGGUUGAUAGGUCAGGUGUGUAAGUACAGCAAUGUAUUGAGCUAACUGAUACUAAUGAUCCGUGCGGCUUGACCAUAUAACCU